Molecule: long non-coding RNA, 1972 nt
Filed under: Coturnix japonica (Japanese quail)
Lineage: Eukaryota; Metazoa; Chordata; Aves; Galliformes; Phasianidae
Description: lncRNA (ENSCJPG00005009927.1)
Source: RNAcentral
GCUCUGUAAGUCAGAGAAUAAACCCUCAAAGAUAAAUGAAUUUGCAUAAAAUGUAGUGUAGAUAACAAGCAUACUGCUCAUCUUUUACAUAGUUUUCCUGCUACUGCAAUCUUUCCACAUAGAGAAAACUAAGUCCUGACUCAUUUCUCAAUAGCAAUGACAUUUUCUAUAAGUCGCAGUGUUAGUAAAUAGCAAUCAAUGCUCCUGCAUUCAAAGUAAGACUUUUUGUUUUUGCUGUAAAUGGCCACCAAGCUAUCUGUGUCAGUUGUUUCCAUUAUUUUCAAUUGGGACUUAGGUUCCUUGGAGGGCAUAAAACAUUUCAGACACCUAGAGCUGCAGUUGUAGAGCAAAACAUCUUAAUGGUUUGUUUGGAAACAGCUUUUGACAACAGCGUAUCCUUUGAUCUCUGUAUUUGUAGCUGGGAGGUUACAAAGACUGUAAUAAUCAGAUGGCAGGAACAGAAAAGACACUUCUGUUUUAGAUCUAGUUAAUUUGACUUAAAAUUAUAUGUGAACACAGAGAAAAAGUUCAACAUUGGUGCUAAUAUUGCUUUAAAGUGAUUCUAUUUCCUUUGAACAAACCAUACUGACUUACAUCCACUUCACAUCCUAGCCAAAAGAAUAUACUUGUUGGAGUAGCCCAUGGAAACAUUUCUUUACAGGUUUGCUUUCUCCCUGCCUUGUUCUGUAGCCCACUUUGUAGCAAUGGAUUACCUUGACGACAACUGCCUGAACUGUCUCAGGUCUGGUCUCCUUCUCUGACUGCUCAUUUGGAGCUACAUAUCUUCCAAGGUUACCUUUAUCUGAAGGGAGUACAGUUUACAACACAAGGACCAUCUUACAGUGCCAGUAAGAGCCAGUGAGGACCCAGAGGGCUGCUGCUAAAAUUCCCCCAUUACCUGCAGCAUCAAUGCAGACAACUCCUCAGAAAAGUGAAGAAGGCAUCUUAGAGGUAGGAAGAAAAUUGGAAAAUAUGAAGACACGUAAAAGCUCAAAGAGAGAAUUUCACAACCCAUGCUCCCGUACAAUUGCAGAGCUUGGCAGAAAUGACUGUUAUCCUGUCCCAUGUAUAGAGCUUUCACUGAGCGCCCUUCAUUCAGUAAAUGAAGAUGAAUGCUUAUUAGGAAAAAAAGGGCUCGCUGUGAUCAACUUCCCAAAAAUAAUCAGAAUGAGGCACGCAACCUGAACAUUAGGCUCUUAAUGGCUGCUUUGGAGCGAACUGAGGAAGGCUAAGGAUCGUUGGCUGCUUGCACUGAGUCAUAACUUUUUAAACAAGGCCCUAAGUCAGAGCUAUCAGUCCUGUGGUGCUGUUUUCCUGGCUCAUGAUAAGCCUGUCUCUUUCUGUCCCAGGCUUGGGCCUGUGAUUUAACAUAGCAAUGACAGCAAUUGCUAGCCCCAAAAACAUCCUUAGCAACUCUCAUCUAAUACAGAUCACUUAUUCUUUGUGAAAGAUGAAUGAGUCAUGCAAGUAACAGACGGCACAUUAAGAGUACAUUGUUAAAGUGUGCUUUAAGUAGUUAUGUGGCAGAUAAUGAUGUGGGGUCAAAUAAUAAUUUAAUUUUUGUACACUAUCCUUUUUUGUACAUAACCAGUGGACCACCCUCUAUGAUGAAGGAUCUCUCAAUAAUAUACAGGAUACUUACUGGAGAACAUUAGGAAAUUCCUUAUUCUUUUUUCACAAUAGCUCUUUACGUGUUUUUAAAGUCUUUUUGUGUUAUAUAAAUGGCUUUGAAAUCUGUGGACCAAACCUUUGUAAAAUAUCAUUGGAAAAAAGAAAACAGAUGCAAUCCUCAUGCCAUAAAAUUAAAUGAGCUUUUUUGGACAAAGUAUAGCAUACCACUUAGCUAUUAAUUUUUACUUCUGCAUCAUAAAAGCCCUAGGCUAUCCUUUUAUGUAUCUCUAAGCAUAGUGAAGUUGUUUCCCCCCUCCCAAAAAAAAAAAACCUCUGCUUUAUUUUUGGUAUACCAAGAAAU